CACACUGUCAUCUAUCCACCAGUCAACACACAACACCUUAUUCUUGUACGACUCAAUCACAUGCAGUGGAAACGCAGCUCUCAGAUCCCAUAUCAUAACUUUUCCAUCGUAUGAUGCAGAGACCAAGUGAAACCAUGAUUUAUUGUGCCAUUUGCAAGAAGAAAUCCAUGAAUUAUGUCCCGACAAUUGAAAGAUAGGAUCAUAU
Molecule: long non-coding RNA, 205 nt
Filed under: Olea europaea subsp. europaea
Lineage: Eukaryota; Viridiplantae; Streptophyta; Magnoliopsida; Lamiales; Oleaceae
Source: RNAcentral